RNAcentral lists this ribosomal RNA (547 nucleotides) under bacterium HPC775. Its description in RNAcentral is "bacterial SSU rRNA". It matches the Rfam family "Bacterial small subunit ribosomal RNA", at positions 925 to 1471 of the family's 1533-position model. The record is from RNAcentral.
CCAAGCGGUGGAGCAUGUGUUUAAUUUGAUGCAACGCGAAGAACCUUACCUACUCUUGACAUCCAGAGAACUUAGCAGAGAUGGUUUGGUGCCUUCGGGAACUUUGAGACAGGUGCUGCAUGGCUGUCGUCAGCUCGUGUUGUGAAAUGUUGGGUUAAGUCCCGCAACGAGCGCAACCCUUAUCCUUUGUUGCCAGCGGUUAGGCCGGGAACUCAAAGGAGACUGCCAGUGAUAAACUGGAGGAAGGUGGGGAUGACGUCAAGUCAUCAUGGCCCUUACGAGUAGGGCUACACACGUGCUACAAUGGCGCAUACAAAGAGAAGCGACCUCGCGAGAGCAAGCGGACCUCAUAAAAUGCGUCGUAGUCCGGAUUGGAGUCUGCAACUCGACUCCAUGAAGUCGGAAUCGCUAGUAAUCGUGGAUCAGAAUGCCACGGUGAAUACGUUCCCGGGCCUUGUACACACCGCCCGUCACACCAUGGGAGUGGGUUGCAAAAGAAGUAGGUAGCUUAACUUUCUGGAGGGCGCUUAAGCACUUUGUGCUUCCG